Molecule: ribosomal RNA, 1149 nt
Filed under: Triticum aestivum (bread wheat)
Lineage: Eukaryota; Viridiplantae; Streptophyta; Magnoliopsida; Poales; Poaceae
Description: partial small subunit ribosomal RNA
Source: RNAcentral
AUGAUAGAAGCUAUUGGACAAUAUGGCCCACAAUUGAAGAAGCCUUCUCCUUAUCAGCUUGGCAUUCCUUUGUUGGAGAACAGAGUCAGGUCACUAGAUGAAUAUGCAAAUGCACACAAGGAGGCAUGGUCGUUGACUGGAUGCUCUCUUUUGACAGAUGCUUGGACAGAUCGACGGGGAAGAAGCCUAAUGAACUUGGUAGCUCAUUCUGCUAGAGGUGUGUGGUUUCUCCGAGCUAUAGAUGCUUCCGCGGAUGUUCAUGAUGCUAAUUACAUCUACUCUUUGGCAUGCAUAGACGAAAUUGGUCCGGAGAAGGUUUUACAAGUAGUGACCAAUAAUGCUUCAAAUAACAUGGCUGCAUCAAAGUUAUUAAAACAGAAAUAUCGUCAGAUAUUUUGGACUCCUUGUGCAGCACAUACCAUUGAUCUAAUGCUUGAGGUCAUUGGUAAGAAGCCUGCUAUCCAGAAUACAAUUAAGAAAGCAAAGUCUAUUACAUGUUACAUUUAUGCCCACACUAGAGUGUUGUCUAUGAUGUGUUCUUUUACUGGUGAUCGUGAUUUAGUUCGAGCUGGAACGACUCGGUUUGCCACUUGCUACCUUAAUUUGAAAAGUCUGUAUGAAAAAAUAAAAGAACUGAAAGAAAUGUUCGGAUCAACAAAGUGGAGCGACUCUAGGUUUGCUAAGCAAAAAGCAGGAAAAGUUAUUGCUAAGUUGGUCAUGGGAAACGAUUUUUGGUCAUCAAUUAUGCGUCUUAUAAACUAUUUUGAGCCACUAGCAUUUGUACUUAGAAGGGUGGAUGGAGAUGUUCUUGCUAUGGGUUACCUUUAUGGUGAUCUUCAAAAUGCAAAAAAGGAAAUUGUUGUCCGUUUUGAUGGAAAUGCAAAGAAAUAUGGUUUCAUUUGGGAUAUUAUAGACGAAAGGUGGAACGACAAACUCAAGACUCCAUUGCAUAAAUCUGGAUAUUACUUGAAUCCAUUCUUUUAUUAUGAGAACAAGGCAGAGUUGGAGGAAGAGGUUUUCGUCGCAGCAGUUAUACAGUGUGCAGGUCGCGUGUACCAUGAUAAUGACAAAUUACAAGACGUGAUUGUUGCCCAGCUAAAUAUGUACACUAAUGGCACUGAUUCUUUUGGCUCUGCAAUGGCUAUCUGA